RNAcentral lists this ribosomal RNA (433 nucleotides) under uncultured bacterium. Its description in RNAcentral is "bacterial SSU rRNA". It matches the Rfam family "Bacterial small subunit ribosomal RNA", at positions 29 to 507 of the family's 1533-position model. The record is from RNAcentral.
AACGAACGCUGGCGGCAUGCCUAACACAUGCAAGUCGAACGAUCCCUUCGGGGAUAGUGGCGCACGGGUGCGUAACGCGUGGGAACCUGCCCUUAGGUUCGGAAUAACACAGAGAAAUUUGUGCUAAUACCGGAUAAUGUCUUCGGACCAAAGAUUUAUCGCCUUUGGAUGGGCCCGCGUUGGAUUAGCUAGUUGGUGGGGUAAAGGCCUACCAAGGCGACGAUCCAUAGCUGGUCUGAGAGGAUGAUCAGCCACACUGGGACUGAGACACGGCCCAGACUCCUACGGGAGGCAGCAGUGGGGAAUAUUGGACAAUGGGCGAAAGCCUGAUCCAGCAAUGCCGCGUGAGUGAUGAAGGCCUUAGGGUUGUAAAGCUCUUUUACCAGGGAUGAUAAUGACAGUACCUGGAGAAUAAGCUCCGGCUAACUCCGUG